RNAcentral lists this transfer-messenger RNA (357 nucleotides) under Acidaminobacter hydrogenoformans. RNAcentral's name for it is "Standard tmRNA". It matches the Rfam family "transfer-messenger RNA". From Rfam's summary of the family: Bacterial tmRNA, also known as 10Sa RNA or SsrA, is named for its dual tRNA and mRNA-like properties. Its role is to liberate the mRNA from a stalled ribosome. Lineage: Bacteria; Bacillati; Bacillota; Clostridia; Peptostreptococcales; Acidaminobacteraceae. The record is from RNAcentral. RNAcentral also lists the same sequence under 1 other name.
GGGGGCGUAUUGGUUUCGACAGGGGUUUGGAGUUAUUGGAAGCGAGCCGUGUUUCCUGACCUGGGGUACACGUAAAAGAACUGGGUCACUUUAAAUUAAACGCUAAAAAUAAUUACGCUUUAGCAGCUUAGUCUGCUCGUCAGCCCGAGGUAGCCUACGCCCCCGGGACCUGACGUCAUAUCGUGGGGAACAGCUUUAGAGGACGCUCCGACUCUUUAGCGGUACAACUGGAGAUCGCCUGACCUCAAUCCGGUCACCAGGAGUGAGAGACGGCUAAAUUUAAAUAGGUGACUGCGCUCGGAGAAACUGAUGGCAAAGGGCUUUUGGACAGGGGUUCGACUCCCCUCGCCUCCACCA